CCUACGGGAGGCAGCAGUGGGGAAUCUUGCGCAAUGGGCGAAAGCCUGACGCAGCAACGCCGCGUGCGGGAAGAAGGCUUUCGGGCUGUAAACCGCUUUCAGCAGGAACGAAAAUGACGGUACCUGCAGAAGAAGGAGCGGCCAACUAUGUGCCAGCAGCCGCGGUGAUACAUAGGCUUCAAGCGUUGUCCGGAUUUAUUGGGCGUAAAGAGUUCGUAGGCGGUCAAGUAAGUCGGGUGUGAAAAUUCUGGGCUCAACCCAGAGACGCCACCCGAUACUGCUUAACUUGAGUUCGAUAGGGGAGUGGGGAAUUCCUAGUGUAGCGGUGAAAUGCGCAGAUAUUAGGAGGAACACCGGUGGCGAAGGCGCCACUCUGGAUCGAUACUGACGCUGAGGAACGAAAGCAUGGGUAGCAAACAGGAUUAGAUACCCUGGUAGUCCAUGCCGUAAACGGUGGGCACUAGGUGUGGGUUUCUAUUAACGAAAUCCGCGCCGUCGCUAACGCAUUAAGUGCCCCGCCUGGGGGAGGUACGGUCGCGACGACGUAAACGUACAAUAGAAGUUAAGUACGGUCGUUGAGUACGUUGCCGAACGGACGACGACGAGGGAGGAGG
RNAcentral lists this ribosomal RNA (614 nucleotides) under uncultured bacterium. Its description in RNAcentral is "bacterial SSU rRNA". The stretch from base 1 to 520 matches the Rfam family "Bacterial small subunit ribosomal RNA", at positions 338 to 873 of the family's 1533-position model. The record is from RNAcentral.